RNAcentral lists this ribosomal RNA (511 nucleotides) under uncultured Thauera sp. RNAcentral's name for it is "bacterial SSU rRNA". It matches the Rfam family "Bacterial small subunit ribosomal RNA", at positions 1 to 521 of the family's 1533-position model. The record is from RNAcentral. Lineage: Bacteria; Pseudomonadati; Pseudomonadota; Betaproteobacteria; Rhodocyclales; Zoogloeaceae.
GAUUAGAGUUUGAUCAUGGCUCAGAUUGAACGCUGGCGGCAUGCUUUACACAUGCAAGUCGAACGGCAGCGGGGGCUUCGGCCUGCCGGCGAGUGGCGAACGGGUGAGUAAUGCAUCGGAACGUGCCCAUGUCGUGGGGGAUAACAGUAUCGAAAGGUACGCUAAUACCGCAUACGUCCUGAGGGAGAAAGCGGGGGAUCGCAAGACCUCGCGCGAUUGGAGCGGCCGAUGUCGGAUUAGCUAGUAGGUGAGGUAAAGGCUCACCUAGGCGACGAUCCGUAGCGGGUCUGAGCGGAUGAUCCGCCACACUGGGACUGAGACACGGCCCAGACUCCUACGGGAGGCAGCAGUGGGGAAUUUUGGACAAUGGGGGCAACCCUGAUCCAGCCAUGCCGCGUGAGUGAAGAANGCCUUCGGGUUGAAAGCUCUUUCGGCCGGAAGAAAUCGNGUUCUCUACUAGGACAUGGUACGGNCCGGACUAGAACACCGGUUACUCGUCCACAGCCGCNNU